Molecule: non-coding RNA, 77 nt
Organism: Gracilaria domingensis
Lineage: Eukaryota; Rhodophyta; Florideophyceae; Gracilariales; Gracilariaceae
Source: the annotation of a GenBank genome assembly
GGGCUAUUAGCUCAGUUGGUUAGAGCACACCCCUGAUAAGGGUGAGGUCCCUGGUUCAAAUCCAGGAUAGCCCACCA